GAAGAAAACAAUACAAGGGAAGAAACUCGGACAGUCUAACAGGCAUGAAGAGGCAUUGGCUGCAGGCAAGUUUGAUGACGUGUGCUCUUCAGGUGAGUUUGAUGAGGUGUGGGCUGCAGAUGAGUUUGAUGAGGUGUGGUCUUUAGGUGAGUUUGAUGAGGCAUGGUCUCCAGGUGAGUUUGAUUAGGCGUGGUCUUCAGGUGAGUUUGAUUAGGCGUGGUCUUCAGGUGAGUUUGAGGAGGCGUGGUCUCCAGGUGAGUUUGAUGAGGUGUGGGCUGCAGAUGAGUUUGAUGAGGUGUGGUCUUUAGGUGAGUUUGAUUAGGCGUGGUCUUCAGGUGAGUUUGAUUAGGCAUGGUCUCCAGGUGAGUUUGAUGAGGCGUGGUCUCCAGGUGAGUUUGAUGAGGCGUGGUCUCCAGGUGAGUUUGAGGAGGCGUGGUCUCCAGGUGAGUUUGAUGAGGCGUGGGCUGCAGAUGAGUUUGAUUAGAUGUGGUCUCCUAUCUUUGGAAUAUUUGGAAUAUUCCACAAGUCGCAUGUUCAACACUUUGUUCCAUCACCUGAAUAUCCUGCAGAUCUAACAAAAGUAAGUUCUCUCACUCUUUCUUUCUUUACUUUUUAGCU
Molecule: long non-coding RNA, 618 nt
Organism: Ictalurus punctatus (channel catfish)
Lineage: Eukaryota; Metazoa; Chordata; Actinopteri; Siluriformes; Ictaluridae
Source: Ensembl